CCUACGGGAGGCAGCAGUGGGGAAUAUUGGGCAAUGGACGCAAGUCUGACCCAGCAACGCCGCGUGAAGGAAGAAGGCUUUCGGGUUGUAAACUUCUUUUAAGGGGGAAGAGCAGAAGACGGUACCCCUUGAAUAAGCCACGGCUAACUACGUGCCAGCAGCCGCGGUAAUACGUAGGUGGCAAGCGUUGUCCGGAUUUACUGGGUGUAAAGGGCGUGCAGCCGGUGAGACAAGUCAGAUGUGAAAUCAACGGGCUCAACCCGUGAACUGCAUUUGAAACUGUUUCCCUUGAGUAUAGGAGAGGUAGUCGGAAUUCCUUGUGUAGCGGUGAAAUGCGUAGAUAUAAGGAAGAACACCAGUGGCGAAGGCGGAUUACUGGACGAUAACUGACGGUGAGGCGCGAAAGCGUGGGGAGCAAACAGGAUUAGAUACCCCAGUAGUC
Molecule: ribosomal RNA, 442 nt
Filed under: uncultured bacterium
Lineage: Bacteria
Description: partial 16S ribosomal RNA
Rfam family: Bacterial small subunit ribosomal RNA
Source: RNAcentral